This 490-nucleotide ribosomal RNA is filed under the name uncultured Desulfobulbus sp. Its description in RNAcentral is "partial 16S ribosomal RNA". It matches the Rfam family "Bacterial small subunit ribosomal RNA", at positions 898 to 1382 of the family's 1533-position model. The record is from RNAcentral. Lineage: Bacteria; Pseudomonadati; Thermodesulfobacteriota; Desulfobulbia; Desulfobulbales; Desulfobulbaceae.
AACUUAAAGGAAUUGACGGGGGCCCGCACAAGCGGUGGAGUAUGUGGUUUAAUUCGAUGCAACGCGAAGAACCUUACCUGGUCUUGACAUCCCGGAGACCCUUAGGAAACUAGGGGGUGCUUCCAUCUGGAAGAAUCUGGAGACAGGUGCUGCAUGGCUGUCGUCAGCUCGUGUCGUGAGAUGUUGGGUUAAGUCCCGCAACGAGCGCAACCCUUGCCUUUAGUUGCCAGCAGUUCGGCUGGGCACUCUAAAGGGACUGCCGGUGUUAAACCGGAGGAAGGUGGGGAUGACGUCAAGUCAUCGUGGCCCUUACGGCCUGGGCUACACACGUGCUACAAUGGUCGGUACAAAGGGUUGCCAAGCCGCGAGGUGGAGCUAAUCCCAUAAAACCGAUCGUAGUCCGGAUCGCAGUCUGCAACUCGACUGCGUGAAGUCGGAAUCGCUAGUAAUCGUGAAUCAGAAUGUCACGGUGAAUACGUUCCCGGGCCUU